GGGGUUGGAAGGCACAAACGUAGCACAUAUUUUCAGGCCCCUUCGCUCCGAGCAACCUUUUUCUUCCUGUCAGACCUCUUUCUUUCUUUCCCGCUCCAACGCAGGCGAGUAGGUGAACCGAGACGAGCGUAGAAGGAACAACUAAGUAAGGCUAAGGGGAGCGAUCGAUUCCCUUCCCUUCCCUUCCCUAGGGCUCCUGCUACCCCCUCCUGCCCGUCUAGGCGGCGCUGUCCCAGUAGUAGCUGUGCCUAGGGCCGUAGCUACUAUCGUACUGCUAAGAUUACCGUAAACCUCUUGGUUCACACCUCUAGUAACCCGACUGUUGGUAUAAGCCGUUACAGUGAUGUCUCAUACGAUGUGCGUUACGCGAGAACGACACACUCUCUCGUCCCGUAGGACUCCAAGGUCAUCGUCUCCCGUCGGGCCUCGGAGAAUUCCCUCCUCUCGGUGCGCAACGACUGAAACAAGUACCUAGACUACCAGAACCAUUAAACAGAGAAGGACGUGGAUGAUGAUUCUUCCAACUCCUUUCACGACGGCUCAAGUACCAAUUAUUCCAGAGAGUCAAAGGACCUCUCUAUAGACAUGAACGUAACCCUGGGGACUGUUUACAGCGUAACCGGUAGUUUUCCCUGAGCAGUAAACGUUCGUUCCAGUUUUUUUAUCAACACGACCCACCUCGAAAGAAACGUCGACCUUUACAGUUGGGACGACGACUUCGUUUAUAGAUGCCUCUAGGCCUACGUCGCCUACAUCAAAAAUGUAGUCCUCGUCUAUAACUACACCAACCGUAAUUGUAUUGUUGAGUUACGACAAAAUGUCUACUCCUAGAGAACCUUGACUUUUUGAGUUUUCCCCACGUGUGUGUCAAGAACACACUGUACACGUUCAAGAUGUCUCUAACCGUACUCUUCAGACUGCCGAAGGUUCCCUAAAAGGAUGUACUAGGACACUCGAAAUGUCGGAAUCAAGUGGGACUCAUGAAGUGUAAGUUCUUCCCACAACACUCUCAGCUCUGGGUCCCGUAAACGUGGCCGGUAUGAAACUACCUGGUACCUAACUUCUUCACCUUAAGUCUUUUAGGUACCAGCCCAAUACGUGGUUAAAGUCAACGCACCUGUCAGCUACACGGUUUCCAGGAACGUAUACACUUCUUCGACGACUACCGCGGGACUCUUAUCUUGGUCUCUUCGUUCGUAUCCUCCUUCCCUUCGAAGGAUCACGUUUAGUUUGAUACCCCAUUUAAGACGUAUACUGUCGUAACACUGUUGUAACUAAGGUUUAUAGAUAUAUAUGGUUCAUGUAAUGUUUAAACCCUUUUUGAAGGGGUAUGAGCAACAACGAAACACGGGCAGAGUACAGAAACAAAUCGUCCGUAUAAACGUGCACAAAUCUGUUUACUCCUUCUAGAUAAACGAGUACAAACCAGUACAGCCCGAUU
Molecule: ribosomal RNA, 1441 nt
Filed under: Triticum aestivum (bread wheat)
Lineage: Eukaryota; Viridiplantae; Streptophyta; Magnoliopsida; Poales; Poaceae
Description: partial small subunit ribosomal RNA
Source: RNAcentral